Molecule: non-coding RNA, 376 nt
Filed under: Cetobacterium ceti
Lineage: Bacteria; Fusobacteriati; Fusobacteriota; Fusobacteriia; Fusobacteriales; Fusobacteriaceae
Description: Bacterial large subunit ribosomal RNA
Rfam family: Bacterial large subunit ribosomal RNA
Source: Rfam by way of RNAcentral
GGGGUGAUGGCGUGCCUUUUGGAGAAUGAUCCUGCGAGUUACGUUCAAUGGCGAGGUUAAGUUUAACGGAGCCGAAGGGAAACCGAGUCUGAAUAGGGCGAUUUAGUCGUUGGGCGUAGACGCGAAACCUGGUGAUCUAAGCCUGUCCAGGGUGAAGCUGUGGUAAGACACAGUGGAGGCCCGAACUCACCGCCGUUGAAAAGUUGGGAGAUGAGGUAGGUUUAGGGGUGAAAAGCCAAUCGAACCAGGAGAUAGCUCGUUCUCUCCGAAAUGCAUUUAGGUGCAGCCUUGAGUGUUCAAUUAUGGGGGUAGAGCACUGAAUGAUCUAGGGGGCGUAUUGCUUACCGAAAUCAAUCAAACUCCGAAUACCAUAAUU